RNAcentral lists this ribosomal RNA (509 nucleotides) under uncultured bacterium. RNAcentral describes it as "bacterial SSU rRNA". It matches the Rfam family "Bacterial small subunit ribosomal RNA", at positions 28 to 534 of the family's 1533-position model. The record is from RNAcentral.
GACGAACGCUGGCGGCGUGCCUAACACAUGCAAGUCGAGCGGGGUUGAAGCGAGGGGUAACUCGAACUUCUACCUAGCGGCGGACGGGUGAGUAACGCGUGGGCAACCUGCCUCAAGGUCUGGGAUAACAGCUCGAAAGGGCUGCUAAUACCGGAUAUGCCUAUAGCCUCGCAUGGGGCUAUGAGCAAAGGGGAAACCCGCCUUGAGAUGGGCCCGCGUCCCAUCAGCUAGUUGGUGAGGUGAAGGCUCACCAAGGCGACGACGGGUAGCCGGCCUGAGAGGGUGACCGGCCACACUGGGACUGAGACACGGCCCAGACUCCUACGGGGGGCAGCAGUGGGGAAUCUUGCACAAUGGGCGAAAGCCUGAUGCAGCGACGCCGCGUGAGCGAAGAAGGCCUCGGUUGUAAGACUCUGUCUGGAGGGACGGAAGAAAGGUAGACGGUACCGUACCGGACGGAAGGCCGACGGCGUAACUAACGUGCCAGCAGCCGCGGUAAACGUAGCGUG